This 3484-nucleotide long non-coding RNA is filed under the name Homo sapiens (human). RNAcentral describes it as "HSALNT0289571". The record is from RNAcentral. Lineage: Eukaryota; Metazoa; Chordata; Mammalia; Primates; Hominidae.
GAAAGUUUUUUCUCAAAAGCCUUAAGAUAGAACAUAGUUCUUGGCAGCAAUUUGAAAGUUAUUUGAGGAGAAGGGGAGACUUACAAUGAUGAUUCAAAUGAAGGAAACUAAAAAGUAAUGAAGCAAGGCAGAGGAAAAAGCAGUACUCACUUGAGCACAUCCCAAAAGAAUAACAUUUCAAAUGUAACUAGAAAAAAGUAUGCUGAAGUUCGCAAUACAGAAAUAAUUAUUAAUAAGAUAGCUUUAAAGCCCUGCUCAGCUUUUGAAUGUUGGGAAUUGACCCAGAGGUGGCUGUAACCUAAGAUGGUUCCUUCAGUAAUGACCAUUUUUUCUUUUUCAAGAUGAUGAUUAUUCCCCACCUUCUAAGAGACAAAGACCAACGAGCCACCACAGCCACCAGUCCCAGAACCCGCCAAUGCUGGGGAACGGAAAAUGAGGGAGUUCAACUCUGGCCCUCACAAUCCAGUGGAGGAGACGCAACUCAUCUGCCUCUGUCCCUCUGGGCACGCCUCAUGCCAGGUGCAUCUGUGGACAGGGGCCAUGCUCCUGGGCUUCCAAAGUUGGAGAAAGCUGCCAGGCUCAGGUCUGAAGGCCAGAAUUCUACAGUAAGUCCUACUGAGUCAAGGUGGGAGCAGGGUCGGUAGCUUCCGAGGCUCUGCGGGAGAAUCUGUUUCCUGGCCGUAGAGGUGGCCUGCACUCCUCAGCCUGUGCUGCCCGUCUCGAAUGACUGGAGUUUCCUGCUUCUGUCACUACACCUCCCACCCUCUCCAUCACCUGCUCUGCUCUUACAAGGAUCCGAAGAAAUGGAAUCAUCGUAUCGCUGAUCUACGUAAACAAACUGAAGAAUUGUCUGAAAGAAAAUAUGACAUGAACUUAUGAAUUCAACAGGUGAAGAUUUACAACUUGAUAAAUCAACUUUGUCAGCUCGAGCUGUAAAAGCCAAAGGUCCGGUGAUGAUCCCAUACCCUUUUUUCCAGUCUCAUGUUGAAGAUUUUUAUGUAGAAGGCCUUCCCAAAGGAAUUUUUUUUUUUUUUUUUUGAGAUGGAGUUUUCACUCUUAUCGCCCAGGCUGGGGUGCAAUGGCGCAACCUUGCUGGUCACUGCAACCUCUGCCUCCUGGGUUCAAGAAAUUCUCCUGCCUUAGCCUCCCAAGUCACUGGGAUUACAGGUGCCCACCACCACACCAGGCUAAUUUUUGUAUUUUUAGUGGAGAUGCGGUUUCACCAUGUUGGCCGGGCCAGUCUCGAACUCCUGACGUCAAGUGAUCUUCCCGCCUCGACUCCUGAUAUCAAGUGAUCUUCCCGCCUCGGCCUCCCAGAGUGCUGAGAUUACAGACGUGAACCCAUGCCUGGCCAGGAAUUUUGUUUUUUAGGAAGGCUUUCUACUAAUGGAAUUCCUGGCCUUGAGAGGAUGUUACUUUAGAAGGAAAGGAUUUUUUUGUUAUUAAAAGGUAAGAUUCCUGGAUUCUUAUUGGACCGUUAUCUCUGUUAUGAGUAAUCCAUCUUUAGUCAUUCACCACUAGGGUUGUAUUUAAUUAAGUCUGAGUUAUUUUAUGGUGAUUUUGUUUUGUUUUGUUUUGUUUUUACCGAAUUUUGUUCUCAUUGCCGUGGCUUGAGGGCAAUGACGUGAUCUCAGGUCACCACAUUCUCUGCCUUCCAGGUUCAAGCGAUUCUCCUGCCUCAGCCUCCUGAGUAGCUGGGAUUACAGGCAUAUGCCACCAUGCCUGGUUAAUUUUUGUAUUUUUAGUAGAAACGUGGUUUCACCAUGUUGAUCAGGCUGGUCUCGAACUCCUGAUCUCGUGAUCUACCCGCCUUGGCCUCCCAAAGUGCUUGAUUACAGCUGUGAGCCAUGUGCCCAGCCUAUUUGUCACAUAUUUUAUCUUUCCUUAUGUUAGCUUAUUAGCUUUAUUUCUUUAUUGUCCUUUUUUUUUUUUUGAGAUGAAGUCUCGCUCUGUCUCCUAGGCUUCAGUGUAGUGGCACAGUCUCAACUCACUGCAGCCUUGACCUCCUAGGCUCAGGUGAUCCUUCCACCUCAGUAGUUGGGACUAUAGGCACAUGCCACUAUGCCUGGCCAAUUAUUUUUAUUUUUUUAUUUUUACUAGAGAGGAGGUCUUGCUUUGUUUCUUAGGCUGGUCUGGAACUCCUGGCCUCAAGCAAUCCCCCCACCACCCCCUCCCAAAGUACUGGUAUUAUAAGCAUGAGCCACCAUGCCUGGGGUAUCUGUGUCUUUUCCAUUUAUUUAUAGAGUUACUUUGUCUUUUACUAAUUCAAUGAUCUGUUUAAUCUUUUAUUAAAUUAUAAAAAUGAUAAAUACUUUUAAAUAAGUGAAAAAUGUCCUUCACUCUUUAGACCCAUAAUCUUAUCUCAGGAAAUAAUUGCAGUUGAGAAAAUGGGCCAUAUCCUUCAAGAUACGUACAUGGUGAUUGAACAUCACUUCAUAUUUUCAUAUUUCGUGGACAUUUGUGCCAAUACCUAUUGAUCUAUCUUAAUCCUUUUUAUGGUUGCAUAAUAUUUUAUUAUAUGGAUGUAUCACAAUUUACCAGUACCAGUCAACUGCUGGAGGCAUUUAGGCUCCUUCUAAUAUUUGCUUUGAGCUCUUUAUAUAAUUAAAAAUUAACCCCCUCAGCCAGGUGUGGCAGCUCACACCUGUAAUCCCAGCAUUUUGGAAGGCUGAGGUGAGAGAACUGCCUGAGUGUAGGAGAUCACCACCAACCUGGUCAACAUAGUGACACUUUGUCUCUACUAAAAAUUAAAAAAAAAAAUGAGCUACACGUUGCAGUGCACACCUGUAGUCCGAGCUACUGGGGAGGCUAAGACUGGAGGAUCACUUGAGUCUAGAAGGUUGAGGCUGCAGUAAGCUAUGAUCACACCAUUGCACUUUAGCUUUGCUAAGAGCAAGACUGCAUUUCUUAAACAAAAUAAAAAUUAGAUGGGAAUAUUGCUCAAGCCCUGGAGGUUGAGGCUGCAGUUAACUGUGAUUGCACCACUGCAGUCCAGCCUAGGUGAUAGAGCAAGACCCUUUCUCUAAAAAUAAAAUAAAAUAAAAAUUAACCUUCUAUCAUAUUUCCCAGUAACACCUUCCCUCCUACAUUUCUCCUAGAAGCCCUUAAAUUUUGUUUUUCACAUAUCGUUUAAAACUUUUAAGUGCUGAUGUCUGUCUGUGUCAUCCCUCUUUUUUUUUUUUUAAAUGUCUUUUUGUCACUUCUAGCUGGACCUACCAUGAAAGACUUCUGAAUCCAGGAAGAGAAACUGACUGGGCAACAUGUUAUUCAGGUACAAAAAGACUUGGACUGUAACUCAAAAAUGAUCAAAUAAUAGUGCAUGCAUCAAGUGCAAUCGGAAGCUCUUCUGGAGAGGGAGAGAAGCUUCCAGUUAAGGUGACAUUGAAGCCAAGUCCUGUAAGAUAAGGAAGAGUUGUAUGAGAGUGGGGAGGGAAGGGGGAGGUGGAGGGAUGGGGAUUGGGCUGGGAUGGGAUGGAGUGAGCUG